This 263-nucleotide ribosomal RNA is filed under the name uncultured bacterium. Its description in RNAcentral is "partial 16S ribosomal RNA". It matches the Rfam family "Bacterial small subunit ribosomal RNA", at positions 793 to 1055 of the family's 1533-position model. The record is from RNAcentral.
GUCCACGCCCUAAACGAUGACGACUAGUUGUUGGAUGAGUUAAAUCCUUUAGUAACGCAGCUAACGCGCGAAGUCGUCCGCCUGGGGAGUACGGUCGCAAGAUUAAACUCAAAGGAAUUGACGGGGCCGCACAAGCGGUUGAUGAUGUGGUUUAAUUCGAUGCAACGCGAAAACCUUAACCUACCCUUGACAUGCUAGGAACUCUGCAGAGAUGCAGAGGUGCCCGAAAGGGAACCUAGACACAGGUGCUGCAUGGCUGUCGU